UGUNUGAGUUGGUAAAUGGAUAGCACGACUUGGUUGUAUCCCUACNUNGGUAGCGACGUCCUCUCGUGCAUUCCUCUUCAAUUUUUGGCACAAGNNCCUCUUUUGCCUUGGCCUAGUUGUUGGUUUCCUGUACUGAAUACCUACAUCGAUGGAAUUUGNCGGCUAUUUUAUCCCGAGUUCGCCUACAUCUGCCCGUUAACGCGGUGCGGCUUCGGGUGAACCUCAAAGCGAAAUUCAUGUUCCGACUUGCAUACAUUUGCUAUGCAGUCACGGCCCAUGUCCCUAGCGUGGCUUCGAGGAUGCAGAAAACACCGAGGGUAAGGGGUCUUCGACCUCUCUUUUGCCCCAAAUCGGCAUUACACGCCGCAUUCGAUUGACUUUCGGCGUUGUACAGGCGUUCUACGUCUUGCNGCCCGAUGUCACCGAGGAAUGCUACCUGGUUGAUCCUGCCAGUAGUCAUAUGCUUGUCUCANAGA
This 476-nucleotide unclassified non-coding RNA is filed under the name Squamellaria thekii. RNAcentral's name for it is "partial external transcribed spacer". Lineage: Eukaryota; Viridiplantae; Streptophyta; Magnoliopsida; Gentianales; Rubiaceae. The record is from RNAcentral.